RNAcentral lists this ribosomal RNA (717 nucleotides) under Mammaliicoccus sciuri. RNAcentral describes it as "bacterial SSU rRNA". It matches the Rfam family "Bacterial small subunit ribosomal RNA", at positions 56 to 755 of the family's 1533-position model. Lineage: Bacteria; Bacillati; Bacillota; Bacilli; Caryophanales; Staphylococcaceae. The record is from RNAcentral.
UGCAGUCGAGCGAACAGAUGAGAAGCUUGCUUCUCUGAUGGUAGCGGGGGACGGGUGAGUAACACGUGGGUAACCUACCUAUAAGACUGGGAUAACUCCGGGAAACCGGGGCUAAUACCGGAUAAUAUUUUGAACCGCAUGGUUCGAUAGCGAAAGACGGUUUCGGCUGUCACUUAUAGAUGGACCCGCGCCGUAUUAGCUAGUUGGUAAGGCAACGGCUUACCAAGGCGACGAUACGUAGCCGACCUGAGAGGGUGAUCGGCCACACUGAAACUGAGACACGGCCCAGACUCCUACGGGAGGCAGCAGAAGGGAAUCUUCCGCAAUGGCCGAAAGCCUGACGGAGCAACGCCGCGUGAGUGAUGAAGGUCUUCGGAUCGUAUAACUCUGUUGUUAGGGAAGAACAAAUUUGUUAGUAACUGAACAAGUCUUGACGGUACCUAACCACAAAUCCACGGCUAACUACGUGCCAGCAACCGCGGUAAUACGUAGGUGGCAAGCGUUAUCCGGAAUUAUUGGGCGUAAAGCGCGCGUAGGCGGUUUCUUAAGUCUGAUGUGAAAGUCCACGGGUCAACCGUGGAGGAUCAUUGGAAACUGGGAAGCUUGAGUGCAGAAGAGGAGAGUGGAAUUCCAUGUGUAGCGCUGAAAUGCGCAGAGAUAUGUACGAGCACCAGUGGCGAACGCGGCUCUCUGGUCUGUAUCUGACGCUGAUGUGCG